GACGAACGCUGGCGGCGUGCUUAACACAUGCAAGUCGAACGGAAAGGCCCUGCUUUUGUGGGGUGCUCGAGUGGCGAACGGGUGAGUAACACGUGAGUAACCUGCCCUUGACUUUGGGAUAACUUCAGGAAACUGGGGCUAAUACCGGAUAGGAGCUCCUGCUGCAUGGUGGGGGUUGGAAAGUUUCGGCGGUUGGGGAUGGACUCGCGGCUUAUCAGCUUGUUGGUGGGGUAGUGGCUUACCAAGGCUUUGACGGGUAGCCGGCCUGAGAGGGUGACCGGCCACAUUGGGACUGAGAUACGGCCCAGACUCCUACGGGAGGCAGCAGUGGGGAAUAUUGCACAAUGGGCGGAAGCCUGAUGCAGCAACGCCGCGUGCGGGAUGACGGCCUUCGGGUUGUAAACCGCUUUCGCCUGUGACGAGGCGUGAGUGACGGUAAUGGGUAAAGAAGCACCGGCUAACUACGUGCCAGCAGCCGCGGUGAUACGUAGGGUGCGAGCGUUGUCCGGAUUUAUUGGGCGUAAAGGGCUCGUAGGUGGUUGAUCGCGUCGGAAGUGUAAUCUUGGGGCUUAACCCUGAGCGUGCUUUCGAUACGGGUUGACUUGAGGAAGGUAGGGGAGAAUGGAAUUCCUGGUGGAGCGGUGGAAUGCGCAGAUAUCAGGAGGAACACCAGUGGCGAAGGCGGUUCUCUGGGCCUUUCCUGACGCUGAGGAGCGAAAGCGUGGGGAGCGAACAGGCUUAGAUACCCUGGUAGUCCACGCUGUAAACGGUGGGUACUAGGUGUGGGGUCCAUUCCACGGGUUCCGUGCCGUAGCUAACGCUUUAAGUACCCCGCCUGGGGAGUACGGCCGCAAGGCUAAAACUCAAAGGAAUUGACGGGGCCCCGCACAAGCGGCGGAGCAUGCGGAUUAAUUCGAUGCAACGCGUAGAACCUUACCUGGGUUUGACAUGGAUCGGGAGCGCUCAGAGAUGGGUGUGCCUCUUUUGGGGUCGGUUCACAGGUGGUGCAUGGCUGUCGUCAGCUCGUGUCGUGAGAUGUUGGGUUAAGUCCCGCAACGAGCGCAACCCUUGUUCACUGUUGCCAGCACGUUAUGGUGGGGACUCAGUGGAGACCGCCGGGGUCAACUCGGAGGAAGGUGGGGAUGACGUCAAGUCAUCAUGCCCCUUAUGUCCAGGGCUUCACGCAUGCUACAAUGGCUGGUACAGAGAGUGGCGAGCCUGUGAGGGUGAGCGAAUCUCGGAAAGCCGGUCUCAGUUCGGAUUGGGGUCUGCAACUCGACCUCAUGAAGUCGGAGUCGCUAGUAAUCGCAGAUCAGCAACGCUGCGGUGAAUACGUUCCCGGGGCU
Molecule: ribosomal RNA, 1346 nt
Filed under: uncultured bacterium
Lineage: Bacteria
Description: bacterial SSU rRNA
Rfam family: Bacterial small subunit ribosomal RNA
Source: RNAcentral